AGCAGAUGGGGAGAGAGGGAAAGGGUGAGAGUAGGGAGGAGCAGGAGGGGGAGGGAGAGAGAGAGAGAGAGAGAGGGAUGCAGUGGAGAGGAGGAUCAAAGCCACUACAGCGACGAGCGAGGAUGAAACCAACACUGUCUGCUGGUGGGCCGACUACAGUAAUUAAGCACCAAUUAGCCCACCUUCAGAGCGUAUGAACCGAGGCUCGACCGGCAACAGGCUACAAUCACCCAGCGGCCCCUCGGCGGGAUAAUGGGCCCCCGCCGCCAACCGCCACUUACGCUCCAGUCCUCGUACCUGCAGUCGGACCGCUGAAGUGCUGCUCAGCAGAUGAGCCUUUGCGUGAUUCUUCUUUUUCACUUGGUCCUCCUCAAACGUUCUCCCUCAGCGUCCCACGGUCGAGCUAUUUGAGGAGGAGAUGCGUUCGCCUUGCCGGCGUCCUUCGACCGCUGACACAUUCGCUCGCCGUGAAAGGCGCUCUCCGCCUGCAGCACCUGCUCCACCUGCUCCACCUGCCC
Molecule: long non-coding RNA, 518 nt
Organism: Gasterosteus aculeatus aculeatus (three-spined stickleback)
Lineage: Eukaryota; Metazoa; Chordata; Actinopteri; Perciformes; Gasterosteidae
Source: Ensembl